CAGUUUCAGAUGCUGGUGCCAGCUGUAUCCCUGGUUACCUCCUGGCAGUGGUAGCCGUCGCCACCCUCCUCCUCACCCUCAUCAUCUACAGCGUCUUACUACGGGUGGGAGGAACAAAAUUCAAGUUUCCAUUCACAGACUGCUUCGUUGUUAAAAAUGAUCAUCUAUACGAUAUCCCUGACAGAGAAUCUGAUGGUGAUCCUGACAGCACCUAUUGUGUCAUACAAAACACUGGCCCCAUCUACAUUAACUCCCCCGCAGGGUCGUCUCCUGAUAAAGCACACAAGACACCGUGACUCGCACUCGCCGUGUGGGGCGGUGGAGUGGCCUGAUGGAAGUGUUCGCUCGUCACGCUGAAGACCCGGGUUCGAUUCCCCAUAUGGGUACACUGUGUGAAGCCCAUUUCUGGUGUCCCCCGACGUGAUAUUGCUGGAAUAUUGCUAAAAGCGGAGUACCAUCAUACUUACUCACUCACCCUCUCGUCGUGGAUUCUCAAAGACACUGCUAUUCUAAACAGAUGUUCACGGAAAGGCCCUGGUAUUUGAUUUGAUUGGGAUUUCAAGAUUAGGUACAUUUGGUCUUUAGUUAGUAGACAAUAUAGCUGAUCUGGUCAGUCAUGUCGAUGUUCAUGCAAUAUUCUGUAAUACAUCUACAUGUGAAAACCAUUGCUGUAUGCGCUGACCAUUCCAAUUCUUGUAUGACGCAACUUGCUGAGGAGGGAUGACCUAGUUGUAAUUCAUCCUCUUAAGUUCGAAUUCCUGAUUAACACCGAUUAUGAUCCUUGGUAUUAAAAGGCUGCGAGGUAGGUUAAUGGUUUGCCGGCGUACCCCGACUCCGGGUCCUUGCUCAUAAUAUUAAUCACUGGCUUGUUUGGUCCAGACUCUGUUAUUGACAUUCAGCUGUGGUACGGCUGACCAACUGCUGACCGCGGCAUCUACCAGCAUCUGCUCUCUUCCACCCGCACCAUCAGCAACACUGAGAAGUGUCCUGUGUAUAUAAAUACCUUACUACCGUU
Long non-coding RNA from Haliotis rubra (blacklip abalone), 1015 nucleotides. RefSeq lists it as uncharacterized. The transcript is spliced from 3 exons. The record is from RefSeq and is a predicted model, not a curated record. Lineage: Eukaryota; Metazoa; Mollusca; Gastropoda; Lepetellida; Haliotidae.